UACGUAGGGUGCGAGCGUUGUCCGGAAUUACUGGGCGUAAAGAGCUCGUAGGUGGUUUGUCGCGUUGUUCGUGAAAACCGGGGGCUUAACCCUCGGCGUGCGGGCGAUACGGGCAGACUUGAGUACUGCAGGGGAGACUGGAAUUCCUGGUGUAGCGGUGGAAUGCGCAGAUAUCAGGAGGAACACCGGUGGCGAAGGCGGGUCGCUGGGCCGAUACUGACGCUGAGGAGCGAAAGCGAGGGGAGCGAACAGG
This 253-nucleotide ribosomal RNA is filed under the name uncultured bacterium. RNAcentral's name for it is "partial 16S ribosomal RNA". It matches the Rfam family "Bacterial small subunit ribosomal RNA", at positions 524 to 776 of the family's 1533-position model. The record is from RNAcentral.